Molecule: ribosomal RNA, 995 nt
Filed under: uncultured bacterium
Lineage: Bacteria
Description: bacterial SSU rRNA
Rfam family: Bacterial small subunit ribosomal RNA
Source: RNAcentral
GGGGAAUAUUGCACAAUGGGGGAAACCCUGAUGCAGCGACGCCGCGUGGAGGAAGAAGGUCUUCGGAUUGUAAACUCCUGUUGUUGAGGAAGAUAAUGACGGUACUCAACAAGGAAGUGACGGCUAACUACGUGCCAGCAGCCGCGGUAAAACGUAGGUCACAAGCGUUGUCCGGAAUUACUGGGUGUAAAGGGAGCGCAGGCGGGAAGACAAGUUGGAAGUGAAAUCUAUGGGCUCAACCCAUAAACUGCUUUCAAAACUGUUUUUCUUGAGUAGUGCAGAGGUAGGCGGAAUUCCCGGUGUAGCGGUGGAAUGCGUAGAUAUCGGGAGGAACACCAGUGGCGAAGGCGGCCUACUGGGCACCAACUGACGCUGAGGCUCGAAAGUGUGGGUAGCAAACAGGAUUAGAUACCCUGGUAGUCCACACCGUAAACGAUGAUUACUAGGUGUUGGAGGAUUGACCCCUUCAGUGCCGCAGUUAACACAAUAAGUAAUCCACCUGGGGAGUACGACCGCAAGGUUGAAACUCAAAGGAAUUGACGGGGGCCCGCACAAGCAGUGGAGUAUGUGGUUUAAUUCGACGCAACGCGAAGAACCUUACCAAGUCUUGACAUCCCUUGACGAUACUGGAAACAGUAUUUCUCUUCGGAGCAAGGAGACAGGUGGUGCAUGGUUGUCGUCAGCUCGUGUCGUGAGAUGUUGGGUUAAGUCCCGCAACGAGCGCAACCCUUAUGGUCAGUUACUACGCAAGAGGACUCUGGCCAGACUGCCGUUGACAAAACGGAGGAAGGUGGGGAUGACGUCAAAUCAUCAUGCCCUUUAUGACUUGGGCUACACACGUACUACAAUGGCGUUAAACAAAGAGAAGCAAGACCGCGAGGUGGAGCAAAACUCAGAAACAACGUCCCAGUUCGGACUGCAGGCUGCAACUCGCCUGCACGAAGUCGGAAUUGCUAGUAAUCGUGGAUCAGCAUGCCACGGUGAAUACGUUCCCG